Molecule: ribosomal RNA, 1208 nt
Filed under: Vargula tsujii
Lineage: Eukaryota; Metazoa; Arthropoda; Ostracoda; Myodocopida; Cypridinidae
Description: 16S ribosomal RNA
Rfam family: Bacterial large subunit ribosomal RNA (bases 793-1143)
Source: RNAcentral
GAUGGUUCUAGGUUGAAAAAUAUAAUUUAUUAAAGCGUAAAUUUAGUAGUAUAAGAUUAGAAAAGUGUUUGAUUUUAUAACUGAAAAGGAAUAAUAUAAUAUAAAAAGAAGAUAAAAUUGUUUUUGUACCUUUUGUAUCAGGGUUUAUUAAAUAGGAGUUAAAUAAAUUUUCUCGAGGUAGCAAGGGCUAUUGUUAAUGGUUAUUGUUUUCGUGGUAAUGAAAUUUGGUAGUUAAUAAUAGUAAUGAGAUAUUAAUCGGUUGUUAGGAUAUCUAGUUGUAUUUUAAAUAGUUAAUACUAGUAGAGGUUAAAAUUUAUAAGAUUAGUUAUAAAUUGUUAUAGUUUGUGUAAAUUGAUUAAACAUAUAUUGCUUUAAUAGUAAGUAUAUAAUAGUGUGUUAUUACUAAUGUUUAAUAUAUAAGGAUUAAAAUGGACAAUUAAUAUAUAGAAUACUAAUUAAAUUAAUAAUGAAUUUAUUAAAAUAAUGAUAAAAUGAGUAUAUGUAAAUUAAAUAGUAUAAUAAUAUUAAUAGAUAAGAUGAAUAUUGAGUAAAUAGUUGUGAAUAACUCGGCAAUGAAGUUCUAAAAUGUUUAACAAAAACAUUUCCUUUUAUGUGAAAGGUAAAUCCUGCCCGGUGUUUAUAAACGGCUGCGGUAUCCUGACCGUACGAAGGUAGCAAAAUAAAUAGUCUUUUAAUUGGGGACUGGUAUGAAAGGUUUAAUUAGGAACUUACUUUUUUACAAUUAAAAAUAGAAUUUGAUUAAUAAGUUAAAAGGCUUAUAUAAAUUAAAGUGACAAGAAGACCCUAAGAGUUUUACAAAUAAUAUUGGUUGGGGGCAGUUUGAUGUAAUGUUCAAGUUGAUUGAUUUUGUUUAACUGGGGCGGUUAAAAUAGUAUCUAUUUAGAAAAUAACUUAAUUUAUAGUAUAUGAUGUAUUAUCAUCCUUAUUAGGAAUACAAAAUAAAUUACCUUAGGGAUAACAGCAUAAUCUUUUUUGAGAGAUCUUAUUGACAAAAAGGUUUGUGACCUCGAUGUUGGAUUUGAAUAACUUUUUGGAGCAGCCUCUAAAAAAGUUGGUCUGUUCGACCAUUAAAUUUCAACAUGAUCUGAGUUCAGACCGGCGUGAGCCAGGUCAGAUUAUAUCUUUUAAGUAUAAAUGUUUAGUUUUGUACGAAAGGACUAAUUAAAUUAGAUUUUCUGUUAAUGUUG